CCACCUUUUUGCUUCUCUCGGCGAAACUUAUACGCAGAAGGAGUUCGAGGAACUAUGCUUCAAAUUCGGCAUCGAGCUCGAUGAUGUUACUACGGAGAAAGCCAUUAUUCGGAAAGAGAAGCAUCUUGAAGAAGAAGAAGAGGCAGAAGCUGGUGACGAGGAUGAGGAAGUCAUUUAUAAGAUCGAGGUCGCAGCCAAUAGAUAUGAUUUGCUCUGUCUUGAAGGAAUUGCUCGAGCUCUCAGAAUUUUCAUUGAAAAGGAAGCAAGCCCUUU
This is a long non-coding RNA of Zingiber officinale, 273 nucleotides long. RefSeq lists it as uncharacterized. The transcript is spliced from 4 exons. NCBI's taxonomy places the organism in Eukaryota, Viridiplantae, Streptophyta, Magnoliopsida, Zingiberales, Zingiberaceae. The record is from RefSeq and is a predicted model, not a curated record.